CCAGGCUACUUGAAGGGAGCCGCCAGUUCUCCACCUAUUCCCCUACGGCGGGGGUCAUCUCUUUUUCUGUUUUUCGCGGGAAGGCCCAAGACGGUGAGAAGCUAUUGAAAACGCUUUAUUUCGCUUCAUUUCCAGGCCACUUGGCCCCCUGGGCCCCGAAUUUACAACUUCCACCAGGGGCAGUGCAUAAACUGCUUAGCUUCUCAGAAACUCUGGCCUGCCCAGAAUUCUUCUCAGGACGGGCCGAGAAGACAAACUGAGGAAAUGCCUUGCAAGGACAUGGGGAGAUGGCAGCUAGAGUCCUGACCAGAAACCAAAUCUGCUGGAAACUGGAUUGUGAACUUCUAGCCUCAGGAACUGUGUGACACAUUCUCAUAUGUUCCCACAGAAAGAGGGACAUGAUCAUCCUUACAGACUUUUACAACAUGCACAGUCUUCUCUACAAGCAGAUCUGCUGCACCAGAUGUGGGAACUGUCACCUUCUUCAUCAUACUGUACCUACAUGGAGAUCAUACUGGAGUUUCUCCCAUUUCACUGUCCCUGACAGACUAAUCUCUCGUCUUGCCACUAACAGCUUCUUCCUUAAUUCUACACUCUUUAUGUUAUCAGCAAGACUUCUGGUCAACAGUAGACUAUUAAUAGUUAGGUUAUGGGGUAUCAUUUAAGGGGUCCUAAUGGACCACCUUCCUCCUGAAUCAAGACUCUGGCAGGUUUGCCUUUAGUUUUACUUAGAACAUCUGGCUACACCUUACUAUUGCUACAGUGCCUACCUACAGAAAUUUAGAAAACCUAAUCUCUACCAUGCCCUGUUUAUUGCUAACAUGGAAAAAUCACAAAAGUAGCCUGGUGAUAAACCUUUACAUUAACAUAAUGUGCCCAGUUUACCCAAUUUUCCACUCACUAGUCUCCAACAAAUACCUUCUGACCUUGAUCUUCAUGUGGCUGGUUUUAGGCCAAUCUUUUGACAGUUCCCAUAUGGCUAUGCAUAUUUCCAAUUUUUUGGCAUGUUUCUUCAUCAUCUUCUUCAAAGCCUAGCUAUAUCUCUUGCAACGUAAGGUACUUUGUGAUACUAUCAUUCUCCAUUCCUUCUAUACCACUUUAGGUUACUUUUCUUCUAAACUUCUAAAACACAGUUGACUGUUAAACAACAUGGGAGGUUAGGGGUGCCAAGCCCCCCUUCCUUGUGGUUGAAAAUACACAUUAACUUUUGACUUACCCAAAACCUAACUAUUAAUAGUCUACUGUUGACCAGAAGCCUUGCUGAUAACAUAAAGACAUUAACACAUAUUUUGUCUGUUAUAUGUGUUAUAUACUGCAUUCUUAUUUAA
Herpailurus yagouaroundi (jaguarundi) is the source of this 1328-nucleotide long non-coding RNA. RefSeq lists it as uncharacterized. The record is from RefSeq and is a predicted model, not a curated record. Lineage: Eukaryota; Metazoa; Chordata; Mammalia; Carnivora; Felidae. The transcript has 3 exons.